Non-coding RNA from Chlamydotis undulata (Houbara bustard), 46 nucleotides. The record is from Rfam. NCBI's taxonomy places the organism in Eukaryota, Metazoa, Chordata, Aves, Otidiformes, Otididae.
CCAAAGGCUCUUUUCAGAGCCACCCACUUUGUUCUUAAGGAGAGCU